AUUGAACGCUGGCGGCAGGCCUAACACAUGCAAGUCGAGCGAUCGGCGGACGGGUGAGUAAUGUAUGGGGACUGCCCGAUAGAGGGGGAUAACUACUGGAAACGGUGGCUAAUACCGCAUACUAUCGGAUAACCCAUAUGGGAUUAGCUAGUAGGUGGGGUAAAGGCUCACCUAGGCGACGAUCUCUAGCUGGUUGGAAGGGAUGAUGAGCCACACUGGGACGUGGAAACGGCCAGAACUCCUACGGAGGAAGCAGAGGGGAAUAUUGCAAAGGGGGGGAAAGCCUGCUGAAGCAAUGCCGCGUGUAUGAAGAAGGCCUUAGGGUUGUAAAGUACUUUCAGCGGGGAGGCGUUACCCGCAGAAGAAGCAACGGCUAACUCCGUGCCAGCAGCCGCGGUAAUUC
RNAcentral lists this ribosomal RNA (403 nucleotides) under uncultured bacterium. RNAcentral's name for it is "partial 16S ribosomal RNA". It matches the Rfam family "Bacterial small subunit ribosomal RNA", at positions 29 to 526 of the family's 1533-position model. The record is from RNAcentral.